This 323-nucleotide long non-coding RNA is filed under the name Mytilus galloprovincialis (Mediterranean mussel). Lineage: Eukaryota; Metazoa; Mollusca; Bivalvia; Mytilida; Mytilidae. The record is from RNAcentral.
ACCACGGGGGGGUCUCAACAUGGGAUUUUGGGUACAGGUGUGCAGCUGGGAUUUUAAAAACACCCCCCAUUCAUAUAUUGAAUAAUUGUAAAAUCCCUACCUAUACAUAUAUUUCACAGCGAAAUCAUAACCCAUUCAUAUAUUUAUCACCCAUUGAUAUAUCACAAUCGGUCAAUUACUACCUAUUGAUAUAUUUCCUCGGUAAAAUUGCACCCCAUUGAUAUAUUUGACGGAUCAAAAAAGGGACCCAUUCCAGCGGCACAUAUGUAUAUACCUUUAUAUAGGAAGAGACCCCCCCGUGCAUUAGACAUAAGAAAAAUAAA